Molecule: long non-coding RNA, 467 nt
Organism: Lates calcarifer (barramundi perch)
Lineage: Eukaryota; Metazoa; Chordata; Actinopteri; Centropomidae
Exons: 4
Source: RefSeq, a predicted model, not a curated record
CCACUCUGAAGCACCUGAGUUGCUGGCUGAAGUAAUGAAUGAGUUUCUCUCUGUAAGUAGCUGAGCUGCUUCCUCCGCCCAGGAACUCCAACCUCACAGCUUCCCAAGCCUGAAAGACGGAUAAAGUGCUGGAACCUAAUGAGCCCACAGCGCAGGGUUACAAUGCAGAGUCUGUUCAGGCGAUGCAGCAUGGAGGACAGGACAGUUCAGCGUCAUCUUGAGCGCCAGGCGGUAGAGUGACAUGGUGUCCUGACACUGCAGACACUGCUCCAUGCUCUUCUCCUGUGACCAACAUGAUCUACUGCUGGACAGCAAAACACACAUGUCAACACAAGGUCCCACAGCACAUCCCCAGAGUCUUCCUCCCGACCUUCCUCUAUCCCAGAGUCCUUUGAGUCAGCAUCUGCUCCUUCAAGACCCAGCAGCUCCUGGAGGGAGACAGUGGAGAUGGAAGUUUGAAAGGCAGU